AUAAAUAAUUGAGGGGUUUAUUUAAGAUCAAUCAUUAGUUGAAGGGUUUUAUUACUAAAUUCCCAAUCUUCUACUACAAUAUUUUUGAUUUUGACAGAACACGACGACGAAUUAAGCUUUUAUCUAUUACACUAGUUUAGGAAGCUGCACAGGUAAUAAUAAUUGGUGCACACGCGUCACUUCAACUGUGGUUGUUUUUACCACCUUCGAGAAUCAUCAUCCUCUCUUCCCCGAUCCCUAAACAAUGGUUAAACAAAUUAGUAUUAUAUAAAAACUUUCGAUUAUCGAGUGUAACACGACGUACCGUAACAAUUAGUAUAAAUCUACUUCCUCGGUUUAACAAUACACUCAUUUUUAUACAAACCAGUUCUUGUGUUAUGUAGCUUAAUCUAUAGAUAAGCUACUACUAAUAAGUAAACUUAGUAGUCUUUAACAUAAUUUUCUUGUUUAACAAUUCAUGCAUAUGUUUUCUUUAAAAGCUUUAAAUUAUAGAUAUCUAUCUAACCGAAUCAUAAGAAAUUUAUGAAACUAAAAAGAUUGGUGUGACUUAUAACUCACGUCUAUAUCAUUUUUCAUGUAUACUAUAUGAACCCACUAACUAACUACCAUUAAUUUAAUUAAAAUUAAAUAAUUUUCAAAAAUAGAAAAUUCAGCAAAUUGGACAACCUUUUUUCAUUAGGACUAAAAACUCACAAUAAUACACAAAUUUCAAAAUUAUAUUAAACACAGGAAUUUUAAAAGAAAAAUAUUAAAAAAACACUACUACUUGAAGAAUUAUUAUAAACAGAUAAGAAAAUAAAAAAUUUGGAGAUGAAAGAAAAAGACAAAAUAUAAACCGCUUAACCAAAUUCUUUUGGCAGAUAGUUGACUUUUUAUUUGUUUUCUCUAUAAAUCCCAAAAGCUUUAUAUACAUUUUUAUAUAUAUAUAAAAAUCUGAAUCAUCCUCAAAAACAAAUAAAAAGUCAAAUCCAUAAGAGAAAAAUACUCUCCUUUAGAGUUAGUACCGUUUCACAGAUCCGAUUUCUCCAAAGCUCUUAAGCUUUUUUUCACUUCUCCUUCCCUCCUUUUGAAUCGCCUCUUUAUUUUCCAGGAAAAUCAAAAAA
RNAcentral lists this long non-coding RNA (1103 nucleotides) under Capsella rubella. Its description in RNAcentral is "long non-coding RNA (CRUB_LNC002440)". Lineage: Eukaryota; Viridiplantae; Streptophyta; Magnoliopsida; Brassicales; Brassicaceae. The record is from RNAcentral.